Molecule: long non-coding RNA, 893 nt
Organism: Brassica rapa (field mustard)
Lineage: Eukaryota; Viridiplantae; Streptophyta; Magnoliopsida; Brassicales; Brassicaceae
Source: RefSeq, a predicted model, not a curated record
AUUUCAGUCGUAAGAACAAAUGGUAAAGCAAAAAGAAAAAAGAAAACACUGUUACCAAAAUUUAAAAUAGUUUCUUGGAUUCCAAGAUGAAUCCUACUUUUUUCGUCUUGACUUUCUCUCUAUUAUUUGCCUUUUUUCUAUUCGAGAGAGUUCUAACAAUGUUUGGAUUUUUCUUACACAUUUUGUAUAGAAACAAAUCUUCACAGUGAGAAAAGACGCACGUAUAUGUUUUUUUUUAUUGUCAAGGUGCAUGAAUGUGUUCAGAAAGAUGGCUGCGAUGACUCGAAAAGACGACAAGCACAUGAUCUUCUUGGAUACAUCAAUAGCUUUGAUUUUGUGUUCUUUUUGCAAGUGAUGGUGCACAUUUUAGAAAUCACAAAUAGUUUGUCCAAAGCCCUAUAAAAAAAGAUCAUGAGAUUUUGAAUGCAAUGUCGUUGGUGACAUCGACUAAAACAUAGUUAAAAAAAAUUAGAGAUUAGAGAUUAAAAAAAUAUCAAUAUCAAUUUAGAGAUUUGAAUGCAAUGUCGUUGGUUCCCUAUUUUCAUUCCAUCUCUACAAAUAUCCGAAGAACAAUUAGAGAUUAAAAAAAAUAUUCUUCUUUAAAAAAAUAUCAUCUAAUAUAGAAAUUAAAUAUAAUUCAACUAAUCACACAAACAUCAAAAUUUUAAUUGGUUAUUUAGUAACUGACAAAUAUAAAAAUUAUAUAGAAAUGUUAAAAUACUUUUAAAAAACGACAAUAUAAGAAACAAAUGGAUUCAUCUAUAUUGAAUUCAAGGGGUGUGAUAAUAAACUCAUUACUCAGAAGCUAAAGAACAAUGCUUAAAGAUAAUAACUAGGUCUCUCAAUCGACUAGUUUGGAUAACUCCAAAAUAAGUUAAAAAAAAAACACAAAA